This 468-nucleotide ribosomal RNA is filed under the name uncultured bacterium. RNAcentral describes it as "partial 16S ribosomal RNA". It matches the Rfam family "Bacterial small subunit ribosomal RNA", at positions 28 to 507 of the family's 1533-position model. The record is from RNAcentral.
GAUGAACGCUGACAGAAUGCUUAACACAUGCAAGUCAACUUGAAUUUGGGUUUUUUAACUUAGAUUUGGGUGGCGGACGGGUGAGUAACGCGUAAAGAACUUGCCUCACAGCUAGGGACAACAUAUGGAAACGAAUGCUAAUACCUGAUAUUAUGAUUAUAAGGCAUCUUAGAAUUAUGAAAGCUAUAUGCGCUGUGAGAGAGCUUUGCGUCCCAUUAGCUAGUUGGAGAGGUAACGGCUCACCAAGGCGAUGAUGGGUAGCCGGCCUGAGAGGGUGAACGGCCACAAGGGGACUGAGACACGGCCCUUACUCCUACGGGAGGCAGCAGUGGGGAAUAUUGGACAAUGGACCAAGAGUCUGAUCCAGCAAUUCUGUGUGCACGAUGACGUUUUUCGGAAUGUAAAGUGCUUUCAGUUGGGAAGAAAAAAAUGACGGUACCAACAGAAGAAGUGACGGCUAAAUACGUG